UCGUUUAAAAAAUGAUUAGUAUCUAAAUAUCUAUAUUUACCGAUUAUGUGGUUACCGCAAUUUCAAAACCAAUUCCUAUGUGUGAAGAUAAUUGAUGAAAGCAAGUAAAGUCUGCUACUAAUUAGUAGCAGACUUUACUUCAUGUAAUCAUGAUUUGUUCGACCUUCACGCGAACCAAUUUUGUUGGCUUGGUGGUAGAAGACCUCUUAACACCUCCUUUGUUAUGUAUGACAUGUACUUCAUCCGAAU
This 249-nucleotide long non-coding RNA is filed under the name Medicago truncatula (barrel medic). Its description in RNAcentral is "long non-coding RNA (MTRU_LNC001333)". The record is from RNAcentral. Lineage: Eukaryota; Viridiplantae; Streptophyta; Magnoliopsida; Fabales; Fabaceae.